Astatotilapia calliptera (eastern happy) is the source of this 1319-nucleotide long non-coding RNA. The record is from Ensembl. NCBI's taxonomy places the organism in Eukaryota, Metazoa, Chordata, Actinopteri, Cichliformes, Cichlidae.
CCCCAACCUGAUGUCUCGCUGCUUUAUUGGCAACGGCGGUGGCAGCAUGCAGUUGGUCCUGAAUGUUAAGGCUGUUCUGACACAGCGCCUGUAAUGAUAAUGACCCUGAUUUUUAUGGUUAUGGUAUUAAAACCAGAUGAUGACGGUGAUUAAAAAAGUUGCAGGUACAUGAGUUAUAUAGUUGGGAGAAAGACUGGAAACCAACUUUGAUCUGCUUCUCUUUUCACUGGUUGGGUUUUGCGUUUGUGUGAAAACCCACUUUACUUUUUUAAAAAGUAAAGUGAUGAAAUAGCUUUGAACAUGCCCACCUACAGGAACAAACUCUCAUAAAUUAAUCAUGUGAGCUGCUGAAUGUCUGAUUGCUCUUCCCGUCAGGCGGAGGGGAUUUUUUUUUCUCUGCAUGCUUUUUUUUUCAAGUGUCAUACUUUUUUAUUUUUGCCAUGUUACUGAUAGGGCACUAUUUAAUUAGAGACCAGAUUUCCUUAUAAGUUAUGUGUCUAUCUACAUGUGAAUGGGUUUAGAGUAGAGAUGGCACGAUACCACUUUUUUAUGUCCGAUACCGAUACCGAUAUCAUAAAUUUGGAUAUCUGCCGAUACCGAUAUGAAUCCGAUAUAGUGUUUUUUAAUCAACAAAACUGUUUUUUUAAAUAUCUUGCUGCAUUUUGUACAAGUUCAUACUCAAGUUUAAAACAACAACUACACUAAAGCUAUUCUGUUAUACCUGUAUGCAAAAAAAAAUAUUUCAUAGUUCAGCAAUACUGAUCAAUCUAAUAAACAUAAACCUACACCAUCCUCCCUAUUCUGGUAUUUUAAAGAGUACUUAGCGUAAAUAUUAAGCAACCUAACUAAUAGGGUUCCAACUCCCAGCAACAACAAAAAUAAAUAAAUAAAAAAUAGGGAACCACCCCUCACGCUCCACCUCAUGAUGCUUAAUCAACGUAAUCAACCUUAAUUUGAUGCAGUGUGAAAAAAAAUGCACAGAAAUCAAUUAUUUUUCAAGAAAUAUUAAAUAGAUUCAACAUCUUUCUUCAACAAAAUUGCAGACUGCACAGAUGGUACCUUCCCAAAGGAAAAAGUACUAUAGCUUACUAGGGUAUAUAUAUUAGACUUAAUAGUCACUAUAUACUGUAAUUGACUUCUAUUCAUUUUACAUCAAAUUAAAACUUUGGGUGUCAGAUAAUUAUUUAUUAAAAGCUAGACAUUUUAAAUGAGAAUAAGAAAGAAAAGUAUGUCUUUGUGCCCCCUUUUCCCUGUUAAUGCCCUAUCGCCCCCCUUGGCUAAACUUUGCUAGAUCCGCCCCUGCACAGUUACCAGCCGUC